Molecule: long non-coding RNA, 1044 nt
Organism: Magnolia sinica
Lineage: Eukaryota; Viridiplantae; Streptophyta; Magnoliopsida; Magnoliales; Magnoliaceae
Exons: 4
Source: RefSeq, a predicted model, not a curated record
GUAGUUUCCUACUGAUUACAAAAGCAAAUUUGUCUGUUGUAUGCAUAACACAAACUACAAUGCCUGUUUUUGAAACCAGAGAAGGCGAAAUUGUGGUUAUACUGUAGUUAUUUCAUGUUAUGGAAUAUUAAUACAUAUAUUUGGCAUAAAACCUUGGUGAAAAGGUUUUUAUCUCUUAACAUGAUCAUCUGUGGCCAGGGAUAGAAAACUUUUACGAAAUCCUUAAAAAUAUACUAUCUUUUGGAGAGAUUUCAAAGAAUAUAAAAUCAAGGUAUUGUAGGCCUACUAACAUGAUGAAGUUUUUCAUCUCUUGGCGAUGGGCAUCCUUGCCUUCAUAUGUAUUAAAUCUCUUGUUUUAAGUAGCUGACCCUGAGGACUUUCUCAUCUUACAGUACUAUGGAUAAGGCCCAUCUAAGGAUUGCUUCAGCAAAAGCUGUCCUGUGCUAGUCAAAGUACUAGGAUAAAAAAAUACCAAUUGACUUCUUUUAUUUGACUUUAAGAUAUCACAUUCUAGAGCUUUUCUUUCAUGCAAAAGUUUAUUAGAAAUGUUUGUUUACUUGGCAUUUUAUUUCUGUUCUUAGUAUGAAGAUAAAACGUGUGUAUUGUUCCAUUGCCUUUUGUUGUCUAAAAGCAGAUAAUGUUUGCUUAUCCAGAGAUUGUAAUAUCUUUCCCACUAGUGGCAGCUGACUUUAUCUUGGCACAUACGAUGUCUACCCACAAGCUAGAAAGGUAUUCCUUAGCAAAGUACACCAAUAUAUAAAGGAAAGGCUUUCGGAUGCGAAGUAUGCUUGUGGCUUCUUAUUCAGCAUAACUGGAUCCCAUUCAUUCAAGUUUAAAGAGCAUAGUUCCUGGAUCAUGAUGAGCAAAAUAUUAGAGUGCGGAAAUGUAUGCCAUCUUUAGCCAUUACAAAAGUAUUUGGCAUUAAAACCUUCAUGAAAAGCUUUUUACCAUUUAAAGAUGCUCAUUAGCACCCAUGGAUAGAAAACAUAUUGGAAAUCCUAAAGACCAUAAUUUCUUUGGGAGAGAUUUCAAAGGAUACAAAAU